Molecule: ribosomal RNA, 302 nt
Filed under: Chaetophyes admittens
Lineage: Eukaryota; Metazoa; Arthropoda; Insecta; Hemiptera; Machaerotidae
Description: partial 12S ribosomal RNA
Source: RNAcentral
UUAAGAUCCUUAAAUUCAAAGAAUUUGGCGGUAAUUAAGUCUUUUUAGAGGAACCUGUUCUGUAAUUGAUACUCCACGAUUGAUUUUACUUUAUUUAAAUUUGUAUACCUCUGUCAAUGAAUGUAUUUUAAGAUUAAUUUUCUUUUUUUUUGUAAAUUAAUGACAAGUCAAGGUGCAGUUUUUUAAAGUAGAAAUGGGUUACAAUAGUAUUUUUUUUGAAUUUUUAAUUGGAAUAUUAAGAUGAAAUUGGAUUUAAUAGUAAAUUUUUUUAAAUAGGAAAGUUGAUUAUGGCUCUUAAUUAU